UGCAGGCCGGGCCUGGCUUACCUUUCCAGCUGCUUUUUUUUUCUCCUCUCUCUGCUCUCCCCCCUUUCCCUCUGUUGGGCUGACAGAUCGGAGUUUCCUCCCCAGCAGAGGGACUGGGAAUGGGCUCGGGCGCUGUGCUGAGGAGCUGCUGCCCCCCUGGCUCUGAGGAGAUCCUGCUUUUCGUGGGGAGGAAGCUUUUGGGGGGCUCUUUAUUAUUUUAAAACUACAAAGUGCUCAGAGGGUAGGUGAUUAUUAAGGGGAAUCCCUGAAUAUAUUCUCCAGCAAAGAAGGCAGGGCUGCUGGGGCUGCUCGAGAAGAGAGCCAGCAGCCUCCUACAGCACCACUACAGGCACUGCGAGGACAUAACAUCAGAGAGCGGCUCCUCUGCCCUCCAAAACAACAACUUUCCUACCAUCUUGGAGGUAGUAGAGAGGGAGAGAGAGAGGGAGGGAGGGGGGAAAAAAAGUACAGAAGGUUUUUAUAAAGUGUCAGUUCGGGGGAGGGAGCCAAGCGGCCAAAACUAGGAUUUUUUUUAGCGUUUAUGUAACUUCUUACUUUAAAUAAAAAUAAAGCGCAGAGGUAUGUGGCUGAAGAAAUAAUUUUCUUUAUAACCAGUUAAGAUCAUCUUUCUGGAAAAAAAAUAUAAAGGAGUGUAGGGAGGCCGUGUAGAGAAGCCAUGGGGGAUUUAAUGCAAGCAUAUGCUUAUUCGUUCUCAUGCUGCCUGUGCAGGCAGGAGCGUAAAGGAGAAAACAAGACUAAGGUUUCUGCACUACAGCCGGCCAUGCAACCAGUGAGGAAUUCUGCCAGCUGGCCACCAGGUGGUACCAGGGCUGCAUUUGGUGAAUUCAGUUCUGCUUUUAGUGCUGCAAUAAAGUACUGCAGUCCCUCGUGCAAUCCCUGA
RNAcentral lists this long non-coding RNA (901 nucleotides) under Dromaius novaehollandiae (emu). Its description in RNAcentral is "lncRNA (ENSDNVG00000016092.1)". Lineage: Eukaryota; Metazoa; Chordata; Aves; Casuariiformes; Dromaiidae. The record is from RNAcentral.